RNAcentral lists this ribosomal RNA (440 nucleotides) under uncultured bacterium. Its description in RNAcentral is "partial 16S ribosomal RNA". It matches the Rfam family "Bacterial small subunit ribosomal RNA", at positions 338 to 795 of the family's 1533-position model. The record is from RNAcentral.
CCUACGGGAGGCAGCAGUGGGGAAUAUUGGGCAAUGGGCGCAAGCCUGACCCAGCAACGCCGCGUGAAGGAAGAAGUAUUUCGGUAUGUAAACUUCUAUUUGCAGGGAAGAAAAGGACGGUACCUGUCUAAGAAUCCCCGGAUAACUACGUGCCAGCUGCCGCGGGAAUACGGAGGGGGCAAGCGUUAUCCGGAUUUACUGGGUGUAAAGGGAGCGUAGGCGGUAGUGCAAGUCAGAAGUGAAAGCCCAAGGCUCAACCAUGGGACUGCUUUUGAAACUGGACAGCUAGAUUGCAGGAGAGGUAAGUGGAAUUCGUAGUGUAGCGGUGAAAUGCGUAGAUAUUAGGAAGAACACCAGGGGCGAAGGCGGCUUGCUGGACUGUAAAUGACGCUGAGGCUCGAAAGCGUGGGGAGCAAACAGGAUUAGAUACCCGAGUAGUC